Non-coding RNA from Poecilia reticulata (guppy), 313 nucleotides. The record is from RefSeq and is a predicted model, not a curated record. Lineage: Eukaryota; Metazoa; Chordata; Actinopteri; Cyprinodontiformes; Poeciliidae.
GCAGCCCUCCCAUUACUCUGUCUACUCUCACGUUUGUUCCCCUUUCCCCCGAACCUCUCUCCGCUCUCUCARCUGGGCUCCAAACGGCCCAACUUUUCCAUCCUGUCUUCCUAAACUSCACCACCUAUCCUUCCAAGAAGUACCACCGUGGUAUUGACCUCCUCCUGGUUCUGCUUCUGAAGAAUUUAAACUCAAACCUUUUACUCUAAAUAUGGAAAUGGAGAAGAUCACAAAUGGGAUGAACCUCGACGGGGCAAUGGAGACAGGAAUACCACCAGAGGAAGAAAAGUUCCUGCAGCACAAAGACAAUGAU